Ribosomal RNA from Danio rerio (zebrafish), 117 nucleotides. Lineage: Eukaryota; Metazoa; Chordata; Actinopteri; Cypriniformes; Danionidae. The record is from Ensembl.
AGCCACAGCCAUAUCACCAUGUAGCCCAAAACCGGUUACUCACUAAAGCUAAGCAGAGCUGAGUCUGGUUAGUACCUGGAUGGGAGUCCACAUGGGAAAACUAGGCUGUUGUUGUGA